This 744-nucleotide ribosomal RNA is filed under the name uncultured eukaryote. Its description in RNAcentral is "bacterial SSU rRNA". It matches the Rfam family "Eukaryotic small subunit ribosomal RNA", at positions 673 to 1425 of the family's 1831-position model. The record is from RNAcentral.
UGCUGAGUUUGGCUUUCCUUUCGGCACCAAGAACCGAUGGGUCUGGUCCUUCUGGGCCUGGAACUACUAACUAGGCGUAUUACCAUGAGCAAUGCUCAGUGUUUAACGUAGGUUUUUCACCUUGAACGUGUUAGCAUGGAAUAAUGAAAUAGGACCCUUGGGCUAUUUCCUUGGUUUUGAGACCCGAAGUAAUGAGAAAGAGGGGGGGUCCGGGGCUUUUGUAUUUUGGGGCUAGAGGUGAAUUUCUUGGAUAGCCGGGAGACAAACUAAUGCGAAAGCAUUUGACCCAGGACAUCUCCUUGAUCAAGAGGUAAAGUUGAGGGAUCGAAGACGAUUAGAUACCGUCGUAGUCUUAACCACCAACGAUGCCGACUAGAAAUCGGGCUUGACUAUUGAGGCUUGCUGGGGAUCUUAGAGAAACCAAAGUUCACGGGUUCAGGGGGGAGUACGGCUGGCAUGGCUGAAACGUAAAGUAAUUGACGGAAGGGCACCACCAGGAGUGGAGCGGGCGGCUUAAUUUGACUAACCACGGGGAAACUCACCAGGUCCAGACAUACGGAGGAUUGACAGAUUGAAAGCUCGUUUUAGAUGGUAUGGGUGGUGGUGCAUGUCCGUUCUUAGUUCGUGGAGUGAUUUGUCUGGUUAAUUCCGAUAACGAACGAGACCUUAUUAUGCUAAAUAGACCGACUCCCUUUUUAUAGGGGGGAAGGCAUCGGUCUUUGCCGUCUUCUAGAGAGACUAUCG